This 407-nucleotide ribosomal RNA is filed under the name uncultured bacterium. Its description in RNAcentral is "partial 16S ribosomal RNA". It matches the Rfam family "Bacterial small subunit ribosomal RNA", at positions 28 to 526 of the family's 1533-position model. The record is from RNAcentral.
GACGAACGCUGGCGGCGUGCCUAAUACAUGCAAGUAGGACGCAGUUGCGAACGGGGGAGUAACGCGGAGGUAACUGCCUAUUAGAGGGGGAUAACUAUUGGAAACGAUAGCUAAUACCGCAUACUAGUAGAUGGACCUGCGUUGUAUUAGCUAGUAGGUAGGGUAAUGGCCUACCUAGGCGACGAUACAUAGCCGAGCUGGGAGGGUGAUCGGCCAAAACGGGAACGGGGCCCGGGCCAGGCUCCCUAGGGAGGCAGCAGGAGGGAAUCUUCGGAAAUUGGGGGAACCUUGACCGAGCAACGCCGCGUGAGUGAAGAAGGUUUUCGGAUCGGAAAGCUCUGUUGUUAAGGAAGCGGUACUUAACCAGAAAGGGACGGCUAACUACGUGCCAGCAGCCGCGGUAAUAC